AAUCAACGCUGGCGGCGCGCUUAACACAUGCAAGUCGAACGAGAAAGUGGAGCAAUCCAUGAGUAAAGUGGCGUACGGGUGAGUAACACGUGGAUCAUCUGCCUCUUAGUGGGGAAUAACUCUGGGAAACGUGGAGCUAAUACCGCAUAAGCCUGGAAAGGGAAAGCGUUGUCGUAAAAACGAACGCGCUGAGAGAGGAGUCCGCGGCCGAUUAGCUAGUUGGUAGGGU
Molecule: ribosomal RNA, 229 nt
Filed under: uncultured bacterium
Lineage: Bacteria
Description: partial 16S ribosomal RNA
Rfam family: Bacterial small subunit ribosomal RNA
Source: RNAcentral